GGUCAAUGAUGAACAGUAAAAGGUCUGAUUGCCCAGUGGUUUUGCCUUCAUUACCCUCCCAACUCCCAGCAUUUUCUCUUCCAUCAUGCUCUAGAAAUGCUGUGAUGGGGGUCACCAUUUGCUGAUAAGUAGUGAUAUAUUCAGCUUGUGUUACCCUAGAGUCAUGGGUAAACACUACUGAAAUUGCUGUCCAACAUAAAUAGAUAACAGGAGUUUGAGGUUAUUGGCUCUGUACCUGGGUAUCUGAUCUGAAAUUUUUAGCUGAGACC
Heteronotia binoei (common prickly gecko) is the source of this 269-nucleotide non-coding RNA. RefSeq annotates it as small Cajal body-specific RNA 6. The record is from RefSeq and is a predicted model, not a curated record. The transcript has a single exon. NCBI's taxonomy places the organism in Eukaryota, Metazoa, Chordata, Lepidosauria, Squamata, Gekkonidae.